This 429-nucleotide ribosomal RNA is filed under the name uncultured Hyphomicrobiales bacterium. Its description in RNAcentral is "bacterial SSU rRNA". It matches the Rfam family "Bacterial small subunit ribosomal RNA", at positions 29 to 505 of the family's 1533-position model. The record is from RNAcentral. Lineage: Bacteria; Pseudomonadati; Pseudomonadota; Alphaproteobacteria; Hyphomicrobiales.
AACGAACGCUGGCGGCAGGCCUAACACAUGCAAGUCGAACGCCCCUUCGGGGGAGUGGCAGACGGGUGAGUAACGCGUGGGAACAUACCUAUCGGUACGGAAUAACUUCAGGAAACCGGAGCUAAUACCGUAUACGCCCUUCGGGGGAAAGAUUUAUCGCCGAUAGAUUGGCCCGCGUUGGAUUAGCUAGUUGGUGAGGUAAAAGCUCACCAAGGCGACGAUCCAUAGCUGGUUUGAGAGGAUGAUCAGCCACACUGGGACUGAGACACGGCCCAGACUCCUACGGGAGGCAGCAGUGGGGAAUAUUGGACAAUGGGCGCAAGCCUGAUCCAGCCAUGCCGCGUGAGUGACGAAGGCCUUAGGGUUGUAAAACUCUUUCACCGACGACGAUAAUGACGGUAGUCGGAGAAGAAGCCCCGGCUAACUCCG